AACGAACGCUGGCGGCAUGCCUAACACAUGCAAGUCGAACGAGACCUUCGGGUCUAGUGGCGCACGGGUGCGUAACGCGUGGGAACCUGCCCUUAGGUUCGGAAUAACUCCCCGAAAGGGGUGCUAAUACCGGAUAAUGUCUUCGGACCAAAGAUUUAUCGCCUUUGGAUGGGCCCGCGUUGGAUUAGCUAGUUGGUAGGGUAAAAGCCUACCAAGGCGACGAUCCAUAGCUGGUCUGAGAGGAUGAUCAGCCACACUGGGACUGAGACACGGCCCAGACGCCUACGGGAGGCAGCAGUGGGGAAUAUUGGACAAUGGGCGAAAGCCUGAUCCAGCAAUGCCGCGUGAGUGAUGAAGGCCUUAGGGUUGUAAAGCUCUUUUACCCGGGAUGAUAAUGACAGUACCGGGAGAAUAAGCUCCGGCUAACUCCGU
Molecule: ribosomal RNA, 432 nt
Filed under: uncultured bacterium
Lineage: Bacteria
Description: partial 16S ribosomal RNA
Rfam family: Bacterial small subunit ribosomal RNA
Source: RNAcentral